GACGAACGCUGGCGGCGUGCUUAACACAUGCAAGUCGAACGGAAAGGCCCUGCUUUUGUGGGGUGCUCGAGUGGCGAACGGGUGAGUAACACGUGAGUAACCUGCCCUUGACUUUGGGAUAACUUCAGGAAACUGGGGCUAAUACCGGAUAGGAGCUCUUGCUGCAUGGGGGGGGUUGGAGAGUUUCGGCGGUUGGGGAUGGACUCGCGGCUUCUGCGCUUGUUGGUGGGGUAGUGGCUUACCAAGGCUUCGACGGGUAGCCGGCCUGAGCGGGUGGUCGGCCACACUGGAACUGAGCCACGGUCCAGACUCCGACGGGAGGCAGCAGUAGGGAAUCUUCCGCAAUGGGCGAAAGCGUGCCGGAGCAACGCCGCGUGAGGGAUGAAGGUCCUCGGAUCGUAAAACUCUGUUAUUAGGGAAGAACAUAUGUGUAAGUAACUGUGAACAUCUUGACGGUACCUAAUCAGAAAGCCACGGCUAACUACGUG
Molecule: ribosomal RNA, 488 nt
Filed under: uncultured bacterium
Lineage: Bacteria
Description: partial 16S ribosomal RNA
Rfam family: Bacterial small subunit ribosomal RNA
Source: RNAcentral